RNAcentral lists this ribosomal RNA (429 nucleotides) under Actinomycetes bacterium. RNAcentral's name for it is "Actinobacteria bacterium partial 16S ribosomal RNA". It matches the Rfam family "Bacterial small subunit ribosomal RNA", at positions 355 to 776 of the family's 1533-position model. The record is from RNAcentral. Lineage: Bacteria; Bacillati; Actinomycetota; Actinomycetes.
UAGGGAAUCUUCCGCAAUGGGCGAAAGCCUGACGGAGCAACGCCGCGUGAGUGAUGAAGGUCUUCGGAUCGUAAAACUCUGUUAUUAGGGAAGAACACAUGUGUAAGUAACUAUGCACGUCUUGACGGUAUCUAAUCAGAAAGCCACGUCUAACUACGUGCCAGCAGCCGCGGUAAUACGUAGGUGGCAAGCGUUAUCCGGAAUUAUUGGGCGUAAAGCGCGCGUAGGCGGUUUUUUAAGUCUGAUGUGAAAGCCCACGGCUCAACCGUGGAGGGUCAUUGGAAACUGGAGAACUUGAGUGCAGAAGAGGAAAGUGGAAUUCCAUGUGUAGCGGUGAAAUGCGCAGAGAUAUGGAGGAACACCAGUGGCGAAGGCGACUUUCUGGUCUGUAACUGACGCUGAUGUGCGAAAGCGUGGGGAUCAAACAGG